UGGGGGUGUGUGGGACCCCAUGGAAAAUCAGACUGUUCAACUCACCUGGCAGCCACUGACAGAGCCCCUGGAAAUCUGGCCCAAGACUCUCUAACUGACUCCUUCCCAGAUCUUCUCAGUUUAGAGUCUGAAGACUGACACUGCCCGAUCACCUUGGAAGCCCCCUAAACCAUCUUGGAUGCUGAGCUUCGGGUAACUCUCACAGUGGUGGAUUUCUGCAUCCUCUCAGUCAUGAUGAUAAAGGAUUUACUACCUCAGUCAUGUCACCACUCUUGAAUAUCAUUCCCAUGGCAUGGUGCAGUAGGAACUGGUUGACUUUUAAAACUAAGUUAUAAUAAUCUUAAAGCGAUUGGAAAUUGAGAAGAAUGUAAUGGAAAAUAUAUUUAUAUGGCUUGGUUAGCCAAAAUUCCCUCAUAAAGCACCAACCUGCAGGAUCCCUUAGCAAUUUACUGAAGAUGAAAAAUAAGCAGAACAACUUUUUAUAGGUCUGUAGUCACUAGAGAUUAAUUACAAACACUAGGUGUAUUUUAACCUAAUUCUUGGUUCCUGAA
Long non-coding RNA from Homo sapiens (human), 551 nucleotides. RefSeq lists it as uncharacterized. Lineage: Eukaryota; Metazoa; Chordata; Mammalia; Primates; Hominidae. The transcript has 3 exons. The record is from RefSeq and is a predicted model, not a curated record.